GACGAACGCUGGCGGCGUGCCUAAUACAUGCAAGUUGAGCGCUGAAAGUUGGUACUUGUACCGACUGGAUGAGCAGCGAACGGGUGAGUAACGCAUGGGGAAUCUGCCUUUGAGCGGGGGACAACAUUUGGAAACGACUGCUAAUACCGCAUAAAACCUUUAAACACAAGUAUUAAGUUUGAAAGAUGCAAUUGCAUCACUCAAAGAUGAUCCCGCGGUGUAUUAGCUAGUUGGUGAGGUAAAGGCUCACCAAGGCGAUGAUACAUAGGCGAGCUGAGAGGGAGGACGGCCACAGUGGGACUUGAAAACGGCCCAAACUCCCUCGGGAGGCAGGAGUAGGGAAACAUCGGAAAUGGACGAAAGGCUGACCGCGCAACUCCGCGGGAGUGAAGAAGGUUUUCGGAUCGUAAAACUCUGUUUGUAGAGAAGAACGUGGGGGAGAGUGGAAAGCUCAUCAAGUGACGGUAACUACCCAGAAAGGGACGGCUAACUACGUG
This 497-nucleotide ribosomal RNA is filed under the name uncultured bacterium. RNAcentral's name for it is "partial 16S ribosomal RNA". It matches the Rfam family "Bacterial small subunit ribosomal RNA", at positions 28 to 507 of the family's 1533-position model. The record is from RNAcentral.